This 72-nucleotide transfer RNA is filed under the name Pangasianodon gigas (Mekong giant catfish). RNAcentral's name for it is "tRNA-Glu". It matches the Rfam family "tRNA". Rfam says of the family: Transfer RNA (tRNA) molecules are approximately 80 nucleotides in length. Their secondary structure includes four short double-helical elements and three loops (D, anti-codon, and T loops). Lineage: Eukaryota; Metazoa; Chordata; Actinopteri; Siluriformes; Pangasiidae. The record is from RNAcentral.
UCCCUGGAGGACUAGUGGUUAGGCCACAGUACUCUCACCACUGUGGCCUGGGUUCAAUUCGUGGCCAGGGAA